AGGGCACCACCAGGAGUGGAGCCUGCGGCUUAAUUUGACUCAACACGGGGAAACUCACCCGGCCCGGACACCGUAAGGAUUGACAGAUUGAUAGUUUUUUCAUGAUUCGGUGGAUGGGGGUGCAUGGCCGUUCUUAGUUCGUGGAGCGAUUUGUCUGGUUUAUUCCGAUAACCAGCGAGACUCUGGCCUACUAAAUAGUUGGCACAUUGCUAUUGUGCGUACAAGUUCUUAGAGGGAUUUUCGGUGUUCAGCCGCACGAAAUUGAGCAAUAACAGGUCUGUGAUGCCCUUAGAUGUCCGGGGCUGCACGCGCGCUACACUGGCAAAAUCAGCGUGCUUGUCCUUCCCCGAAAGGGGUUGGUAAACCCGUGAAAAUUUGCCGUGAUUGGGAUCGGACAUUGCAAUUAUUGUCCGUGAACGAGGAAUUCCUUGUAGGGGCGAGUCAUCAACUCACUCUGAAUACGUCCCUGCCCUUUGUACACACCGCCCAUCGCUGCCCGGGACUGAACCCUUCCAGAAA
This 519-nucleotide ribosomal RNA is filed under the name uncultured eukaryote. RNAcentral describes it as "SSU rRNA". It matches the Rfam family "Eukaryotic small subunit ribosomal RNA", at positions 1161 to 1705 of the family's 1831-position model. The record is from RNAcentral.